Long non-coding RNA from Populus trichocarpa (black cottonwood), 1618 nucleotides. RefSeq lists it as uncharacterized. The record is from RefSeq and is a predicted model, not a curated record. The transcript has 2 exons. Lineage: Eukaryota; Viridiplantae; Streptophyta; Magnoliopsida; Malpighiales; Salicaceae.
UUACUCAAAGUAGCAGUCCUGGGGGCAUCAGACAAGCCGAUUGAGCCGCCAGCUUUUCCUCUGAUAUUAGGUAAAUUAAUUGAUGUGCAAUCUCUUCUCUAAUUUUUCGAAGCUUAAAUGAUACAUAUAUGAUCAAAUAUGAAAGGGUAAACAAGGGUCUUGCUCCUUUGCUUUCCUCCUCGUGCAAUUUUCGCAGGCAAGAGAUCUGCAACUGGUAGCAUGACAAGGGCUCAGAGGAUUGAGAGAUUUGGUCACCCACCUUAAAAGAAAUAGAAUGUGAUUCGGGAGGAUGAAAAUUUUUAUUGGCAACUACCACACCCAAUAGCCUACCAGAAAUCAAAUUCCAAGUUUCAAGAGAUAAUUAAGCUUCCAACUAACAAAUGGAGUGGGGUGUUAGCUCGUAGAGAGCCAUACGAUUGGCUUUAAGCGAGGAAAAAUCCAACCUGUCUUGGAAUUGCAUUGCGAGCCUAGAAUCCCACCAUUGAUGAAUGAUUAUCCAUUACAAACUAAUCAAAUCCUUGGCCAGCAAUCCCCAGCCACAUCAGUGACCAGACAGAAUCCAUAGUCCUGUUAGCAGCAUAUAAACUAGUCCGUUUGUUCUUUUAUUCGAAGCAUGUGCUUCCUUAACUCUCACAUAAAUUUUAGUCUUUUACAGUAUAGUUCAGUGAGAAAACAAGAACAAUUGCAGAAUAAAAGAAGAGCUUAAUCUUAAAAAUUUACACUUGGAAGGAUCUUUAGGAUGUGAUGAUCGAAGAAGAAGAAGAAUCUCAGCAAGUAAGAGACCAUGUCGAACCACCAUCAGCACCACUUUUUCCACCCUGAAGAGCUCGGUUCUAUGGUCCUUUUAUAGAGCUAUUACUGCAAACCUCAUUUGCAUCCCUUCUCUUCCUCUGUCACUAUUUCCACCGUAAUUGGCUGCAAUAAGGAAGCUGACCCCUGUAAUGGUGUUGGCCUUUUAAUUAGGCAUUGCAUGGUCUUUUGGUGGCAUGAUAUCUAUCCUCGUUCAGGGGAUCAUGUUAAUCCAGCUGUGACAUUCUGUCUGUUCCUAGCAAAGAAAGGUAUCAUUGAUACGAGCAGGUGGAUUAUAUGGUGGCUCAAUGCCUGGGAGCAACAGGUGGAGUGGGUUUGGUCAAGGCAUAUAUGGAAGACUUCUAUAAAGCAGAAAGAGGUGGUGCUAAUCUGGUGGCUCCUACACACUAAGGAACUGCUUUAGGCAUUUAUUGGGACUUUCGUAUUAGUCUACACAGUAUUUUCUGCUACUGAUCCUAAGCGUAGUGCACGUUUUUCUCACGUUCCUGUAAGUAUUAUUAGCUUAUAAUUGCCAAAAAAAUAUAUUUUACUGAUCAAUAUUCUUGAUAUAUACACUUGUGUUUUGGUGGACAAUUGUAUUAUGCUGUUCGGGUUUUGUCACCUUUGCCAAUUGGGUUUGCAGGAUUUAUGGUGCAUUUAGCCACCAUCCCCACAACAGGAACUGGAAUCAACCCAGCUCGAAGCUUUGAGGCUGCUAGCUGUUAUAUAUAACAAUGAAAAAGCCUGGAAUGAUCAGGCUUGUACUUUAAAUUUGGCUAAAUUUGUCUUGUCCCCUCAUAACUUAAAUUUGCUUUAGGAAGUGCGAAUA